RNAcentral lists this small RNA (116 nucleotides) under Aminobacter aganoensis. RNAcentral describes it as "ar14". It matches the Rfam family "Alphaproteobacterial ar14". From Rfam's summary of the family: Smr14C2 was renamed NfeR1 (Nodule Formation Efficiency RNA) highly expressed in salt stress and during the symbiotic interaction on legume roots. Lineage: Bacteria; Pseudomonadati; Pseudomonadota; Alphaproteobacteria; Hyphomicrobiales; Phyllobacteriaceae. The record is from RNAcentral.
AGAUACCCGGCGGGCGGUUCCUCCUCCCUCUGCCUGCCGGGCGAAGCGGCCAGCACCUCCUCCCGCUGGUCACCAAAGGAAAAGGCCGGCACCUCCUCCCGCCGGCCUUUUUCUUU